AGUGAACGCUGGCGGUAGGCCUAACACAUGCAAGUCGAACGGCAGCACAGUAAGAGCUUGCUCUUACGGGUGGCGAGUGGCGGACGGGUGAGGAAUACAUCGGAAUCUACUUUUUCGUGGGGGAUAACGUAGGGAAACUUACGCUAAUACCGCAUACGACCUACGGGGGAAAGCAGGGGAUCUUCGGACCUUGCGCGAUUGAAUGAGCCGAUGUCGGAUUAGCUAGUUGGCGGGGUAAAGGCCCACCAAGGCGACGAUCCGUAGCUGGUCUGAAAGGAUGAUCAGCCACACUGGAACUGAGACACGGUCCAGACUCCUACGGGAGGCAGCAGUGGGGAAUAUUGGACAAUGGGCGCAAGCCUGAUCCAGCCAUACCGCGUGGGUGAAGAAGGCCUUCGGGUUGUAAAGCCCUUUUGUUGGGAAAGAAAAGCAGCAGGUUAAUACCCCGCUGUUCUGACGGUACCCAAAGAAUAAGCACCGGCUAACUUCGUG
RNAcentral lists this ribosomal RNA (492 nucleotides) under uncultured bacterium. RNAcentral's name for it is "partial 16S ribosomal RNA". It matches the Rfam family "Bacterial small subunit ribosomal RNA", at positions 29 to 507 of the family's 1533-position model. The record is from RNAcentral.